Non-coding RNA from Dipodomys ordii (Ord's kangaroo rat), 70 nucleotides. NCBI's taxonomy places the organism in Eukaryota, Metazoa, Chordata, Mammalia, Rodentia, Heteromyidae. The record is from Rfam.
GGGAAUGUGGCUUAGUGGUAGAGUGCUUGCCUAGCAUGCAUGAAGGCCUGGGUUUGAUUCCCCAGGACCA